CCAACUUCUCCCGACAAAAGUCACAGUCCGCCUCAUCUCACACAACGAGGAGUCCACCACCCUAGUUGCCCUGGCCCCCUCCGCCGGAGCUCCGGUGCUUCCCGCCGCAACUGCAUCCUCCUCCACCGGUGCAGGUGCCUCCUCCGCUGCUCCCUCCUAUUCGCGCAGCUCCCACUCACUUGCCUCCCCAGCUUUCCCUCCCUUUAUCGAGAAAAAGUCCUUCAUUUUCCCACGGGCUAUGGCACUCUGCUCCGCCUGCAUCGGAUCCGGCGAGGCUGACGGCGGCUGCGAGGCCCGACGCACCGGAUCCGGACCACCACCAACCAAAGACGAUGGGAGCCACAGAUGCUGCGAGAACCGGGGGACCCAACAACGACAGCAAGCUAAAGUCUCCCCCUUGCAAGGUCAAAUGAGGAGUACGACAACGGCGAUGUCCUGGAGCAGAACGAGCGACCUGGAUGGGAAGGAGGGUAGCAGCAGGACGAGGGACAAAGCUGAGCCGUCUUGCUCCCUUCGGACGACCCUCCAUGCCCAACACCCCAAGAUCUUCCGGCUGCACAAGGCGAAUUACUUGCUCAUCUGUUAAUUCUUCUGAAUAUGCAGCAGGAUUUUCUCAAACUUAGAGCAUAAUUUUGCAGCAAGAUAUAUCUCAGAUAGCCACUGUGCAAUCAGCUCAACAGUGUAAAUUUAGAGCUAGAUUUUGUCAAACUGAAUCUUGCUCAACAGAUUUAGUUAUGUUGCUAAAAUUUUAGUAUUUUAUACUUCUCUGAAUACAAAAGACCUAUUCGGCAACUCUUCGCCCUGCACCUUGGCUCGUGAAGCGGCCGGAGCGGAGCAGACUAUAGCCUAUUUUCUUGGAGUCGCGGAAGUGGUGCACCGUUCGCUCCCCUAUUUUACGGAGCUGGAUGGUUGCCCAACAGGCUCAAAGUGUACUUCUUAUUGCAAGGAAAUUUAAAACUCAUUUCACAAGUGAGUUAACUGAAUUUUGACAUAGUAGUUAACUGAAUUUACUACCAUCUUUACCAAAUGCAGUUUACCCAUUUGUUUUGCUUCUUACUUUCUGCUAUGUUUGCUAAGAGAAGAUUAACUUCCUUCUGUAAUUAUUCACAUGAUAGAUGUGCCAACUUCCUUUCGCAAAAUUUUGCCACCUUGACCAACAUUUUGACAAACUUACUGCUAGUCUAGAGCCACAUGAUACCUUGCUAGGUUAGUUAUUUUUCUAACCAACCAACGAUGCAUGCAAAUCUGCUAGAUAACCCCAAGUCCACAGCAAAGGAGGAAGAAAGUGAAACGUGAAGCUGAUCAGCUUAUCCAUCAGCUAGAUAACCCCAAGUGCAACUGGGUUCAGGGCCUAUACUUGCUUACCGAAGGAAAAAAGACAAAUAAUUGGAUUUUUUUAACAAUGGGUGCUGAUGUUUGCAUGAUCGGUGUUAGUCCAAGCUAAUCCAAGUACUGAAUUACUCCUUGUUGGAGUACUGUCAUUGAAAUGUAAAUUGAAUUACUGUCAUAUAACAGUAAUCUGAAUUUUAAACUGGGUAUGAAGUAAACUUGCUAGAGUACAAAUUUAUGCAUUACUCCAUAUUUUUUGAGGUACCUUCAUUUACUUCAUACUCAAAAUUUACUCCAAAUUUACACAUUACUCCUUGCUGGAGUAUUUUUAAAAUACUCCUAUGGUUAAAAUGGUCAUGUUGUAUAAAGUUCAUCUGUAUAUGUGCUGAAAAUUCAAUUAUACUUGCCUACUAAAAAUUCAGUUAAAAUUCAGUCACCAUUCUGAAUUUUGAUAUUGCUUCAUACAGCUCCAUCUAACUCCAUCUACUCCUCGGCAUACUGAAUUAAGUCAAAUUCAGUCACCAUUCUGAAUUUUGUAGUUAUCAUACAUUUUGUUCAGAAAACUCACUGAAAAAGAUUUGUUCAGUCACCAUUUUGUUCAACUCUAGUUGAUGUCUAGGAGAAGCAAACUGACCAAAGUAAUCAAACAUCCGAGGAGUCCCAACAAUCUUGUCUCACUUUGAUUUGCUCUAAAAUUAAGAGUGAAUUUGAUUGAACUUACUUUGUACCUUCCCUUCAGAGUGCAUAGGAGCAGCAACAGUAGGGGCACGGGAGAAGGACAGAAGAUAGCAGAGCUCUAACGGUGGAAGCUCGAGGAGAAGCAGCAGCCGGAGCACAAGGAGAAGGUGUAGUCGGAGCUCGAGGAGAGGUAGAAGUGGGAGCUCGAGGACACAUAGGAGAGCAGUUUUUGGCGGUGGCAUAGGUUUGGCCGGAGGUGGCACAGCAGGUCUGAGGAACGGCGGGAGAGCACUUCUAGGCGGCAGGAGAGGGCCGCAGUGGCAUAGGUCUGGGCGAUGGCACCGAAGCUGUUCUGGGCGGCGGCAGACCGGGUCAUGAGGAAUCGUGGCUAUAGCUAGACGUGACUGACCGGCGCCGGCCCUGGCAAUGUGUAACUCAUCCUAUCUUUAUUUUGGCACGAGGGUCUCGACAGGGAUAGAAGCGCACCUCGUCGUUUCGCAAGAAUGAAUAUCAUUACAAAUACAUGUAUGGAAGAGAUGAGUAUAAGGAAUUGGCUUGCACGGGUCACAAGCUACAACAUGAACAACACAAUACAACAAUAUAUUCAAUCAUCAUGUAGAAGAGCAUGGUCCGACUAUGGAUGAAAACAAAUGAUAAAAGAACAAUGUUCAUCCUUACUAUACCAAGCUGCCGACCUAGAACCCAUCCUAUGAUCGAUGAAGAAGAGGAAGAAAAACUCCAAAUAGAAAAAUCACCGCGCUCACGUCAAAGUAUCGUUUUACUUGUACCUGCAACUGUUGUUAUA
RNAcentral lists this long non-coding RNA (2812 nucleotides) under Hordeum vulgare. Its description in RNAcentral is "long non-coding RNA (HVUL_LNC007581)". Lineage: Eukaryota; Viridiplantae; Streptophyta; Magnoliopsida; Poales; Poaceae. The record is from RNAcentral.